CCCUUAGAUGUCCUGGGCCGCACGCGUGCUACACUGACACCUACACCGAGUUUUUCCAAUGCCGAAAGGCCAUUGGUAAUCAGCAAUAAGUGUCGUGAUGGGGAUAGAUCUUUGGAAUUAUUGAUCUUGAACGAGGAAUGCCUAGUAAUCGUAGGUCAUCAGCCUGCGAUGAUUACGUCCCUGCCCUUUGUACACACCGCCCGUCGCUCCUACCGAUUUCGAGUGGUUCGGUGAACCUUUCGGACCGGCAAUGCCUCGUGUUGCGCCGGAAAGUCAAGUAAACCAUAUCACUUAGAGGAAGGAGAANUCGUANCA
This 315-nucleotide ribosomal RNA is filed under the name uncultured eukaryote. RNAcentral's name for it is "partial 18S ribosomal RNA". It matches the Rfam family "Eukaryotic small subunit ribosomal RNA", at positions 1470 to 1796 of the family's 1831-position model. The record is from RNAcentral.